RNAcentral lists this ribosomal RNA (454 nucleotides) under uncultured bacterium. Its description in RNAcentral is "bacterial SSU rRNA". It matches the Rfam family "Bacterial small subunit ribosomal RNA", at positions 335 to 783 of the family's 1533-position model. The record is from RNAcentral.
ACUCCUACGGGAGGCAGCAGUGGGGAAUAUUGCACAAUGGGCGCAAGCCUGAUGCAGCCAUGCCGCGUGUGUGAAGAAGGCCUUCGGGUUGUAAAGCACUUUCAGUCGUGAGGAAGGUAGUGUAGUUAAUAGCUGCAUUAUUUGACGUUAGCGACAGAAGAAGCACCGGCUAACUCCGUGCCAGCAGCCGCGGUAAUACGGAGGGUGCGAGCGUUAAUCGGAAUUACCGGGCGUAAAGCGCAUGCAGGUGGUUUGUUAAGUCAGAUGUGAAAGCCCGGGGCUCAACCUCGGAAUAGCAUUUGAAACUGGCAGACUAGAGUACUGUAGAGGGGGUAGGAAUUUCAGGUGUAGCGGUGAAAUGCGUAGAGAUCUGAAGGAAUACCGGUGGCGAAGGCGGCCCCUGGACAGAUACUGACACUCAGAUGCGAAAGCGUGGGAGCAAACAGGAUUAGAU